CUGCCAUGGCUUUGACAGAGAGAAGCAAAAGGUGAACAAAGCCCUUCUUCCUGGGCUUAUCUGGACUAAGCCACCAUCAUCUUUCAAAGGCUCAGCACCUUCACUAUUUUCUGCAGCACUUACCUGAUGUCUACUGAUGCAGACAAAGACUUGAACAACAGCGCUACUGAACAAAGAUCGAUGAACCACAGGAAGGAUCCGCAAUCUUCAUGAACUUCAACCUGCC
Molecule: long non-coding RNA, 226 nt
Organism: Grus americana (Whooping crane)
Lineage: Eukaryota; Metazoa; Chordata; Aves; Gruiformes; Gruidae
Exons: 3
Source: RefSeq, a predicted model, not a curated record